Molecule: ribosomal RNA, 524 nt
Filed under: Epicoccum nigrum
Lineage: Eukaryota; Fungi; Ascomycota; Dothideomycetes; Pleosporales; Didymellaceae
Description: eukaryotic LSU rRNA
Source: RNAcentral
GGGSUUCCCUGAGUUUGUAGACUUCGGUCUGCUACCUCUUACCCAUGUCUUUUGAGUACCUUCGUUUCCUCGGCGGGUCCGCCCGCCGAUUGGACAACAUUCAAACCCUUUGCAGUUGCAAUCAGCGUCUGAAAAAACAUAAUAGUUACAACUUUCAACAACGGAUCUCUUGGUUCUGGCAUCGAUGAAGAACGCAGCGAAAUGCGAUAAGUAGUGUGAAUUGCAGAAUUCAGUGAAUCAUCGAAUCUUUGAACGCACAUUGCGCCCCUUGGUAUUCCAUGGGGCAUGCCUGUUCGAGCGUCAUUUGUACCUUCAAGCUCUGCUUGGUGUUGGGUGUUUGUCUCGCCUCUGCGUGUAGACUCGCCUUAAAACAAUUGGCAGCCGGCGUAUUGAUUUCGGAGCGCAGUACAUCUCGCGCUUUGCACUCAUAACGACGACGUCCAAAAGUACAUUUUUACACUCUUGACCUCGGAUCAGGUAGGGAUACCCGCUGAACUUAAGCAUAUCAAUAAGCGGAGGAARAU